This 753-nucleotide ribosomal RNA is filed under the name Tulasnella sp. 3 MV-2011. RNAcentral describes it as "eukaryotic LSU rRNA". The stretch from base 292 to 450 matches the Rfam family "5.8S ribosomal RNA". The record is from RNAcentral. Lineage: Eukaryota; Fungi; Basidiomycota; Agaricomycetes; Cantharellales; Tulasnellaceae.
GGGUUAUGGCUGCUCAGUGUGCGUUGGGAAGGCUGCCGUCUGCCGUGUCAAAAGCGGCGGUUUCAAAUCCCUUCUGUGACCUCUGGUCACGUUAAUUGGAGUGAAAGCUUAUGCUUCACCCUGUGCUUCAGAUGUUCGAGUCGGGUCUGAAGCGCGAGUCCUUACCGAACAGUUAUUAAAUACAUGGGACAUCACUGAUCGCUGGGAUGCCUCGUAUUGCACGUUGGCGUAAGACCCGCGAGGCCACGGCCAUAUCAUCAAUAUAACUAUCAUGAUCAUACAGUUAAUUACAACUGGUAGCGUUGGAUCCCUCGGCAUGGCUAUCGAUGAAGAACGCGGCCAGCUGCGAAAUGUGAUGUGAAUUGCAACUCAAAGCGGUUAUCGUGAAUCAUUGACUAUUUGAACGCAUUGCACCGCCCUUUUGGGAGUGGUACACCCGAUUGAGAGUCAUAAUGACCUUCAGAUUGAGAUACUUGGCCAUUCAAUUGGCAGAUGUCUUUAUGCUGCAACCCAUCUUACUCAGGUGGCAGAGGCAUAUCUGCAUGAGUGUCUCAAUUCUGGCUUCGAGGCUGCACGGUACGUUCAGUAUCGCGUGCCUUCAGAUGGAUUAGUGGCGACUAUGAGAGCGAGUCGGACUCUGUGUAAUAAAUCAUUUCGCGCAGAGGAGUGCUUCAGCACACUUGUUAUCUAUGGCACUGCUUCAAACUCGCCCCCGGGCAAAUAGUGAUGGCUUCACAGCUGUUGCACAUUAUG